This 158-nucleotide ribosomal RNA is filed under the name Glomus macrocarpum. RNAcentral describes it as "5.8S ribosomal RNA". It matches the Rfam family "5.8S ribosomal RNA". Rfam says of the family: 5.8S ribosomal RNA (5.8S rRNA) is a component of the large subunit of the eukaryotic ribosome. It is transcribed by RNA polymerase I as part of the 45S precursor that also contains 18S and 28S rRNA. Functionally, it is thought that 5.8S rRNA may be involved in ribosome translocation. Lineage: Eukaryota; Fungi; Glomeromycota; Glomeromycetes; Glomerales; Glomeraceae. The record is from RNAcentral.
UCACUUUCAACAACGGAUCUCUUGGUUCUCGCAUCGAUGAAGAACGUAGCGAAGUGCGAUAAGUAGUGUGAAUUGCAGAAUUCCGUGGAUCAUCGAAUUUUUGAACGCAAAUUGCACUCUCUGGUAUUCCGGAGAGUAUGCCUGUUUGAGGGUCAUUA